This 497-nucleotide ribosomal RNA is filed under the name uncultured bacterium. RNAcentral describes it as "partial 16S ribosomal RNA". It matches the Rfam family "Bacterial small subunit ribosomal RNA", at positions 28 to 507 of the family's 1533-position model. The record is from RNAcentral.
GAUGAACGCUGGCGGCGUGCCUAAUACAUGCAAGUCGAGCGAACGGACGAGAAGCUUGCUCCUCUGAUGUUAGCGGCGGACGGGUGAGUAACACGUGGAUCACCUACCUAUAUGACUGGGAUAACUUCGGGAAACCGGAGCUAAUACCGGAUAAUAUUUUGAACCGCAUGGUUCAAAAGUGAAAGACGGUCUUGCUGUCACUUAUAGAUGGAUCCGCGCUGCAUUAGCUAGUUGGUAAGGUAACGGCUUACCGAGGCAACGAUGCAUAGCCGACCUGAGAGGGUGAUCGGCCACACUGGAACUUGGACACGGUCCAGACUCCUACGGGAGGCAGCAGUAGGGAAUCUUCCGCAAUGGGCGAAAGCCUGACGGAGCAACGCCGCGUGAGUGAUGAAGGUCUUCGGAUCGUAAAACUCUGUUAUUAGGGAAGAACAUAUGUGUAAGUAACUGUGCACAUCUUGACGGUACCUAAUCAGAAAGCCACGGCUAACUACGUG